Molecule: ribosomal RNA, 460 nt
Filed under: uncultured bacterium
Lineage: Bacteria
Description: partial 16S ribosomal RNA
Rfam family: Bacterial small subunit ribosomal RNA
Source: RNAcentral
CCUACGGGUGACAGCAGUGAGGAAUAUUGGUCAAUGGCCGGAAGGCUGAACCAGCCAUGCCGCGUGAAGGUCAGUGCCCUAUGGGCGUUAAACUUCUUUUGUGCGGGAGCAAUAAUGGUCACGUGUGGCCAGACGAGAGUACCGUACGAAUAAGCAUCGGCUAACUCCGUGCCAGCAGCCGCGGUAAUACGGGGGAUGCAAGCGUUAUCCGGAGUUAUUGGGUUUAAAGGGUGCGUAGGCUGUGAGGUAAGUCAGCGGUGAAAUGCCCCCGCUCAACGGGGUGAAGUGCCAUUGAUACUGGCUGGCUGGAAUGUGGAUGCGGUGGGAGGAAUGUGUGGUGUAGCGGUGAAAUGCAUAGAGAUCACACAGAACACCGAUUGCGAAGGCAUCUCACGAAUCCGCGAUUGACGCUGAGGCACGAAAGCGUGGGUAUCAAACAGGAUUAGAUACCCCAGUAGUC